CGGACAGUGGGCGGCUGCUAUACAUGCAAGUCGAGCGGACAGAUGGGAGCUUGCUCCCUGAUGUUAGCGGCGGACGGGUGAGUAACACGUGGGUAACCUGCCUGUAAGACUGGGAUAACUCCGGGAAACCGGGGCUAAUACCGGAUGGUUGUUUGAACCGCAUGGUUCAGACAUAAAAGGUGGCUUCGGCUACCACUUACAGAUGGACCCGCGGCGCAUUAGCUAGUUGGUGAGGUAACGGCUCACCAAGGCGACGAUGCGUAGCCGACCUGAGAGGGUGAUCGGCCACACUGGGACUGAGACACGGCCCAGACUCCUACGGGGGGGCAGCAGUAA
RNAcentral lists this ribosomal RNA (336 nucleotides) under Bacillus velezensis. Its description in RNAcentral is "bacterial SSU rRNA". It matches the Rfam family "Bacterial small subunit ribosomal RNA", at positions 41 to 357 of the family's 1533-position model. The record is from RNAcentral. Lineage: Bacteria; Bacillati; Bacillota; Bacilli; Caryophanales; Bacillaceae.